Molecule: long non-coding RNA, 334 nt
Organism: Saccostrea cuccullata (small rock oyster)
Lineage: Eukaryota; Metazoa; Mollusca; Bivalvia; Ostreida; Ostreidae
Exons: 4
Source: RefSeq, a predicted model, not a curated record
GUGGAUCUAACAUUAUCUAUUGUGUAAUUUGCUGGUAAUAAGCAGAUCUAUGCAUGGCACUCCAUUAUACCACACUGAUAGCUUCACAAAGAUUAUAAAUAUGAUACAUGUAAACAGGCACAGUUACUUGUCAUCACAAGGAUCAGAAUUCAAGUACCAAGGUAGUCCUAACUCCUGAAUCUUCCUGAUUGUCAAAAGUACAUCUAGUGACACAAGAGAAGAAUGUGGAGUAAAUGCCAAUAAAGGCUCGACUGCAGGGGUACACCUUACUUCUCAGGAAUUUCUGGUUAUUACCAUCCAAUUCAGAGGAGAAGACCAACUUCAAGGUGACUCU